RNAcentral lists this ribosomal RNA (395 nucleotides) under uncultured bacterium. RNAcentral's name for it is "bacterial SSU rRNA". It matches the Rfam family "Bacterial small subunit ribosomal RNA", at positions 505 to 898 of the family's 1533-position model. The record is from RNAcentral.
GUGCCAGCCGCCGCGGUAAGACAGAGGGUGCAAACGUUGUUCGGAAUUACUGGGCGUAAAGCGCGUGUAGGCUGUCUCGCAAGUCGGGUGUGAAAGCCCUGGGCUCAACCUAGGAAGUGCACUCGAAACUGCGAGACUUGAGUCCUGGAGAGGAAGGCGGAAUUCUCGGUGUAGAGGUGAAAUUCGUAGAUAUCGAGAGGAACACCGGUGGCGAAGGCGGCCUUCUGGACAGUGACUGACGCUGAGACGCGAAAGCGUGGGGAGCAAACAGGAUUAGAUACCCUGGUAGUCCACGCCGUAAACGAUGGGUGCUAGGUGUCGCGGGCUUUGACCCCUGCGGUGCCGCAGCUAACGCAUUAAGCACCCCGCCUGGGGAGUACGGCCGCAAGGCUAAA